AUGCCAGCUUUGUGGCAGUCAUGGCUCUGCACCACUGCAGCAAAGACACAGGGCACUCUCAUUGAAGGGACACCUCUGGAAUGGGAAUUAGCCAGCAGGGCUGAGGGAGCGCUCCUAGAACCCCCAAACAGAGAGAGGUCAGAGAAGUGGCUCAGGGAACAAGUUUUAACACAUGGGAAGAUUAUCCAAGGCAAAAAGAGAUUCUGAAACUGAGGAGAAACCUUUUAUAUUCUGGCAUCUGUAAUUUUGCUAUUUAUUUCAACCAGAAGAAAGAGUUCUUCUUGGGACUGGAAUUAACAUGCAGCGCAAUUUUAGGUAAAUUUUUGGGAAAUCCCUUUGUGUCGUUGCUCAAGUAGUUAAAUACUUAUCAAAAC
RNAcentral lists this long non-coding RNA (374 nucleotides) under Cyanistes caeruleus (blue tit). RNAcentral's name for it is "lncRNA (ENSCCEG00000009137.1)". Lineage: Eukaryota; Metazoa; Chordata; Aves; Passeriformes; Paridae. The record is from RNAcentral.